AGCCUGACGCAGCAACGCCGCGUGGGCGAUGAAGGCCUUCGGGUUGUAAAGCCCUUUUCUGGGGGAAGAGGAAGGACGGUACCCCAGGAAUAAGUCCCGGCUAACUACGUGCCAGCAGCCGCGGUAAAACGUAGGGGGCAAGCGUUAUCCGGAUUCAUUGGGCGUAAAGCGCGUGCAGGUGGUGCUUUAAGUUGGGCGUGAAAUCUCCCGGCUUAACUGGGAGGGGUCGUUCAAUACUGAAGCACUUGAGGGCAGGAGAGGGAGGUGGAAUUCCCGGUGUAGUGGUGAAAUGCGUAGAUAUCGGGAGGAACACCAGUGGCGAAGGCGGCCUCCUGGCCUGCUCCUGACACUAAGACGCGAAAGCUAGGGGAGCGAACGGGAUUAGAUACCCCGGUAGUCCUAGCUGUAAACGAUGGAUACUAGGUGUGGGUGGCAUUGACCCCAUCCGUGCCGUAGCUAACGCGAUAAGUAUCCCGCCUGGGGACUACGGCCGCAAGGUUAAAACUCAAAG
This 511-nucleotide ribosomal RNA is filed under the name uncultured Chloroflexus sp. Its description in RNAcentral is "bacterial SSU rRNA". It matches the Rfam family "Bacterial small subunit ribosomal RNA", at positions 380 to 906 of the family's 1533-position model. Lineage: Bacteria; Bacillati; Chloroflexota; Chloroflexia; Chloroflexales; Chloroflexaceae. The record is from RNAcentral.